Small nucleolar RNA from Zingiber officinale, 107 nucleotides. The record is from RefSeq and is a predicted model, not a curated record. Lineage: Eukaryota; Viridiplantae; Streptophyta; Magnoliopsida; Zingiberales; Zingiberaceae.
AUUCCAUGAUGUGAGCAUUGUUGUAGAAGUCCCUUGUAUCUAUCUCAUAAUUCGAAUAAAGAUUUUUCUUUCUUUUAUGUAAAGCUUGUGAUUUGAUUUCUGAGUUG